GAUGAAGAACGUAGCGAAAUGCGAUACGUAAUGUGAAUUGCAGCAUUCAGUGAAUCAUCGAGUCUUUGAACGCACAUUGCGCCCCCUGGUAUUCCGGGGGGCAUGCCUGUCCGAGCGUCAUUGCUGCCCUCAAGCACGGCUUGUGUGUUGGGCCUCCGUCCUCCUCCCGGGGGACGGGCCCGAAAGGCAGCGGCGGCACCGCGUCCGGUCCUCGAGCGUAUGGGGCUUCGUCACCCGCUCUUGUAGGCCCGGCCGGCGCUUGCCGACACAUCAAUCUUUUUUCCAGGUUGACCUCGGAUCCGGUAGGGAUACCCGCUGAACUUAAGCAUAUCAAUAAGCGGAGGA
Molecule: unclassified non-coding RNA, 345 nt
Filed under: soil metagenome
Description: partial contains 5.8S ribosomal RNA, internal transcribed spacer 2, and large subunit ribosomal RNA
Rfam family: 5.8S ribosomal RNA (bases 1-120)
Source: RNAcentral